Molecule: ribosomal RNA, 426 nt
Filed under: uncultured bacterium
Lineage: Bacteria
Description: partial 16S ribosomal RNA
Rfam family: Bacterial small subunit ribosomal RNA
Source: RNAcentral
GUGAGGAAUUUUCCGCAAUGGGCGAAAGCCUGACGGAGCAAUGCCGCGUGAAGGAUGAAGGCCUAUGGGUUGUAAACUUCUUUUCUCAGAAAAGAAUUAUGACGGUAUCUGAGGAAUAAGCAUCGGCUAACUCUGUGCCAGCAGCCGCGGUAAGACAGAGGAUGCAAGCGUUAUCCGGAAUGAUUGGGCGUAAAGCGUCUGUAGGUUGUUUAAAAAGUAUUCUGUCAAAGAUUAGGGCUUAACCCUAGAUAGGCAGAAUAAACUUUUAAGCUAGAGUUUGGUAGAGGCAGAGGGAAUUCCCGGUGGAGCGGUGAAAUGCGUAGACAUCGGGAGGAACACCAAAGGCGAAGGCACUCUGCUGGGCCAAUACUAACACUGAGAGACGAAAGCGAGGGGAGCAAAUGGGAUUAGAUACCCUUGUAGUCC